Pteropus alecto (black flying fox) is the source of this 3193-nucleotide long non-coding RNA. RefSeq lists it as uncharacterized. Lineage: Eukaryota; Metazoa; Chordata; Mammalia; Chiroptera; Pteropodidae. The transcript has 3 exons. The record is from RefSeq and is a predicted model, not a curated record.
UAAUAUCGAGUGCAUACAUUCUAUUCCAUACAUCAAGCUCGUUUCAAAUCAAUUACAUUUUUCUUUUUAACCUAUGAGGAUUCACUUGGAAAUUGUGAUGUGUGCUGUUAUCCAUUGUAGUUUAGGUAAACAGGAGAGAUUAAUUUCGUCUGUGAGGAUGGGAGUGUAGCCCUGGGAAGACCUCUACCAGGCAAGAAGAAUGAGUAGGAACUUCAGCGAAACUGUAUUCAAAAUGAAAAGAACUUUUGGAACACAAUGCAUUGGUGGUGACAUAACCUCUUGAAUUUGGCUGGACACAGCACACCUAAGUGUCAUGUCAAAAAUGUGGAGAAGAUAGAAGAUGCCUAAUUGGUAUAAGUCUGAAGCUAUCAGAAGGAAAGGGUUAUGCAGACCGCCUAUUCAGGCCAGCCUAAGGGAUAAUUUAGAAAGUGUAUCCAGAUCAGGGGAUAUACAACUUGAGUGUGUGCACUGUGAAGGAGAAAGACAUGCACAAAGAAUGUAAGAAUUUGUGAGCAAUGUAUGCCAUGGAGGCUUCCCGGCAUGGUUUAAGGCAGAAACGAAGCAGACCUUCAUGUGAUCCAUUCUAAGUCACUUAACCUAGGGCAGUCUCAGGUUUUUUAACUGAAAAAUGAGGCUAAACAUUCCUGUCUCAUAGUGUUGUUGGGGAGAUUUAAUACGAUAGCAUAUUCAUGAACACACUGGGGAUCACAGUGGGUGCUACAUGAGUUUCAUGCUUUUCUCACCUCUUUGAUAAGCAUCACCUAGAAUGCAUAUUAAACAGAUCUCUGGCCCCCCCAAACUGGAUGAAAUCAACAUUUUUAUAGAAGCCAAGUGGUAAUCUGCAUGGUUAGCAGGUGAUGCUUAUCAGAAAAACAUGAGAAACAGCAUUAUUUCACUUCCCUCCCAUCACAUCCCACAUUUCGUGGAACACACAAGUAUCUCUACCAGAAGAAAAAGGCUGUCAUUAAGUCUGGAAUGAGAAAAAUGAGAGAAUUACAAUUUUCACAAAAGACAGACAUGUUUUUUAGUGAUAUGUCUCUUAAUGGCAUUAUUCUGCCAAUACUGUCUAUUCCCUUCUGGGCCUCGAAGAUUUUCAUUGAUUUGGAUAUAAGAACAAAUUGAGUAUUUCCAACGAAUCUACUGAGAAACAUAGUCAAAAUAGCAGUCUUAUUUUUUUUUAUUGCACCAUUAUGAGGAGACAUGGUACAAUCUGGGACUGUGACAUUCUGCAGGUGUGGUAAAAAUACUGUUCAAAGGAAGCCCCAUCAGACAACAAAAGAAGACCUCAUCCAUCCCUUCCUCCACUUUAAUGACUGACAGUGUAUGAAGCCAGAUCCAGGUAAUAUAAAGAGUUUCUAUAGAAGUUCUCUCCUUAUAAACCAUUCUCUAUAAAAGGUUUCCAAGGUACUUAGCCUUAUUCAGAGACAGCAACGAGAUAUCAGUCUAAGGGUGUCUCUUUUGUAGGUCUUGGUAUGAAAGGCGGUCUUUGGUAAUAGGGAAAGGCAGCAUCUCAAAAACAAUUUACAAAUGUCAAAUUGGCAUGCUUUCAAACGGAAAAUAACCUGGCAGCCUGACCAGAUCUUUCCAAAUAUUUAACAUCUCCAUGUAAAUAAAAAGACAGUUUCACGUCUACAGCUCAGAGAGGAAAAUGUUGACACCAGAAAGUCAAAUAUCCAGUCCACCUUAGAGAGGCCAUCGGAGAUCUGAAGAGCAGUGCGGAUCUGGGGCUCUAGGGCCCAAGAGAGCGAGGAGCAUCUGGCCCAGCUUCAGAGUUUCCGUAACUAUCUACUUAAUCACAGCACUCAGGGGACUUUCCUCUUAAAACACAUGUGACUUUGAGUUUAGAAUCUGUGGCUUGUGUGAUUUCUGAUAUGCUGGCAUUCACGAUAUUAUUCUCAUCCCCACUCCCACAGUUUUUAAAUAUUGCCUUGGAACAGCAAACACCGACCGCGCGGCCCCAACCUCUCUCUCUGCCCUUUCUACUGAAGAUCAUAAAAGAGGUGGUUUGGGGUUUGUUUUUUUCUGUAAGUCACUUUCUAUAAAUUUUCUUUUAAGCCAAAAUAACAGCACACAAGAAUGAGAUCUCCAGGGAGCUCCGAAGGAAGCGACCUCAAAAUGACAAGUAUUUUUCUCCCUUACCUUGAAAACUAACGGCAGGCCAAACACUGAGAUUUUCUCAACUCCGCCCUUCCCCCCCAAACUGCCUUGCUUUGUAAGGUCUAGUUCUACUGUGGCGGGAAGAAGGGUCUCUCGGAAAUUGUUUCUACGGUCAAAGACGAGAACCCUGCAGACCCCUCGCCCCUGCUCGCGUCCAGAUCCCUUUACAAGAAAACAACAGUGAGCGAGGAGCCCGUUACUCCUGUUGGUCUGUCCCCUCGAGCGCCCAAGCUCCCCUGCGACUAGGGGCAUCACAUCAUCAAAGAAUAUUUAUACGAGAAUGACUUGUCAAACCAAGAGACACUGAGAUACAAAAUUGGUUCUCAAAGGUCCACAGGAACCACUGACCAUGCAUAGCUAGGAACCUCUCCCAGCAUUUUGCCAACACACCUGAAGAUAAACAAAAGGACAAAAAGAGACUAGAGGAAAAAAGAAGGACUAAGUGGAGGCCUCUGGAUACACUUGAAUGGUGUUCCCAUGCUCUCAGUACAGAGUCAUCCACAUGAAGAACAACCCUGUUUCCUGAGCUGGGGUUUAAUAUCAGCUCGCUACUGGACUGCACCAGCCAGCAGAGAACUGGUCAGGUGCAGUGGUGGGCGGCUAGUAAAAAUUAAAUAACUUUUAAAACAGAGAACCUAGUUAUAAACAAUAAUAUAAAUGGAGCCACUUUAAAUGGAGCCAAAGCUGCCAUGCCAGAGGAACUGCCUUACAUGUUACACCUCAAAUGUUAGAACGUUAAAAACAGGAUAAAAUAACCUUUGGUCUGGCCUAAGCAACUUUAUUUCUCAUAGAACCUAACCAUGCAUUUUGCAAAGGUAACAAAAAAAGCAGUUAUCAUGACUACUGGACUGACGACUACUGGACUGAAAAUUAAAGACAUUGUUUAGAAUCACUAUGUUAUGUGCACCAAUAGGAAUGCCUUCUUUCUCAUAAAUACCCAUCGCCUUUGUCUCCUAAUUGGAACAUUAUUUGGGCUUCUGCGUGAAUUAAUGAUUCUCAAAUAGCUAUUCUUACUGAUCUCAAAUAAACUCUUGUU